RNAcentral lists this long non-coding RNA (5135 nucleotides) under Heterocephalus glaber (naked mole-rat). RNAcentral describes it as "lncRNA (ENSHGLG00000046863.1)". Lineage: Eukaryota; Metazoa; Chordata; Mammalia; Rodentia; Bathyergidae. The record is from RNAcentral.
GGAGAAAGAGAGAGAGACACAGGACAGAGACAGAGACAGAGAGAGGCCUAGACAAUGGUUGAACCUGCUUCUAGAGGACAGUGUGACAACACAUAUGUUUCUUAUGUGGGAUGGUAUUUCCAUUCCCAUUUCACCUAAGGAAUUUGGGUUGGUUUUCUGUCACUUUCAACUCGUGUGGUUUUUGUUUGUUUGGUUGGAUUGGUUGUUUGAUUUUUAAGAUAGGGUCUCACUAUUUUGUCUAGGUUGGCCUCAAACUAGAGAGCCCCCUGACUCAGCUUCCUUAGUACGUGGUAUUAAAGGCAUGUAUGUACUACCAUGACCAGCUGUCAAUUCAUUAUUUUUAACUUAUAAAUGUCCCAAACUCCACUUAUCUGUUCAUAAUGUCACAGCUUAUUAUAGUAGUAUACACACUAUGAUAAUUUGAAUGCUCCAGAGGGAAAAUGAGUGAUUGUCAAUUGGAGUUUUAGUGUAUAUAACAUUAAAUCAUCAGAUAUUUACUGAAUCCCUAUUAUCUGUCAUUCCACAAAGAAUACUGAAAACAUACACCAACCUUACAAAAUCAACAACUAAAAUUGCUUCUCAGACAUGUUUUUUCCCUGCCUUUAGGGUUGGAUUUUUGUCACAAAUAUAACAAGAGGCCUUUGCACUUCCUAUGGAAGAGUUUUCCAUAAAUAAUAAAUUUCUUCAUUCAUAUAUAAUAUUAAAAUCACCUUUAAAAAUAAAAAUAGAGGAAAUAAUGACAUUCAUUUCUGAUUUCCAAAUAAGUCUCAUUUUACGUAUUCAAAUAACAUUGACAAAAUUCCUCAGAACUUUUUCUUUUUUUAAGAAACAUCAGUUUUUGUCAUUUACCUUGAAGUUCAGUUGGUCUUUACUAUCUAAAGAGGCACUGAAUACAUGUCUUCUGAAAUGAUAAGCGUGUUUGGGCUGUGUGGAGCCCAAAGUUGGCAGUUUCUAGCAAUAUGGGUACUAAGAUCGUACAGGCAGUAACUCAGCAUAGCCCCUGCUGUGUGCCGUCAGCAGGACAAGCAACUUCCACUCUGGAUCCACUCUUGGCCCAAGCCCACUGAGUUGCCCAUUGAUGUCUUUGAAUAAAACCACACUUUGUCUGUAGUCUCAAAAAUUAGCACCUAAUAGGAUUCAGGUCAUCUUCCAGUUUCCAAUUGUCAACAUGGCACGUUAGGAAUGCAGAAAUUCUUGUCAUUUAAGGAAAAAAAAUUUAAGAACAACUAGUUCUCAAAAAUGUGUGAAAUCAUGUCAGUGGUUUGACUACCCUACUUCAGUACUUAUCAAUUCAGAGUCCCAGGGUGCUAUAGAGGAUUACUCAACAAAUUCAAAUUAUCUUAAGCAACUUCUAACAUUUUGCAAAGCCUUACCACAGUUUGUCCAACUUGAGAUAGAUUGUGUGAGCUAAGUAAAAUUUUAGAUCUGCUUUAGGUUUGAGUUGCAUGAACUUAACAGGGUAAUACUAGAGUUCAUGUUGCCAAAAAGCAUGGCUGGUACUUAUUUUGGUCUUUACUUAAUAAAAAGGGGAAUCAUUUAAUGAAUUUAUUAUGUUUCUAGCUUGUAUUGGUUUAUUUGACAGAUAAAAUGUUAAGACUUAAAAGUGUAGUGGAGCUAGGGUGCUGGGGUGCUCUCAGCAUGACGGUGUUUUCUGAUCCUGCCAUGCCAAUUCUGUCUCUGAACCCACAGGAAGGUGGUGAGUUUCAGAAGGAGAUGGUGUAGGUCAGGCGUCGCGUGACCCAGCAAAAAAAAAGGAAGAGCAAAAAAAGCAAGAACUUACACCAGUAAGGUAGAUACCGUUUCACUGCUGGGUAUACUGGAUGAUGCAAUGGAGUUUGCCAGCCUUUAAAAAGAUCUUCAUGUACCCUUUCUGGUGGCAUAAAACGACAGACCAGGAGUCUCUCACCGAAGAGGCAGUUGUGGCUUCCUCUCAGCCACCAUCUUCGCAACAGCCUCAAACGCAAACUCCACAAAGGCGUAGCCUCUGCUGUUUCCAGUCCUUUUACUUCUGGACUGUCUGAAUCGUGUUAUAUUGCCAAUUGGGAGAAAUAUUCUUUGAUCUGGAAUUCAGAACGUACUGGCUCUGCUGAGGUACCAGUGGAUUCUAGGUAUCAGUAGAAUGAGUACAAGAUGGAUACAGCAACUUGCUUGGUACUUACAGCCUUCCACCUGGGAAGAGAAUCUGCAGUUGAGCAGCCUGAAACCUAAUUCAGGUUGCAAGUCAGUUCUCUCAUUCUGAAGAUUCCCUUUCUUCCUUUGAAUUUGAGUAACAGGAAUUAUUCUCACUGGACUGACUUCUGACCAAUACUGGCUAGACUGCUGUUCUCCUCAAGGCCCAUUACCUCACCUUGCUCUCAUCUGGGGCAAGAGCUGUGUGUGUCAUCAGCAGUGUUAGAAAACCACAUACAGUGUGAAGGGGAUAGAUGGCUGAACCCAUGGUGCAGGAAUGCGUGGGGCCUGGCAGAAUUGAUCAGCUGAUUCCCUGCAGUCUGUCAAGGUGAGACGGUGUGUGAGGACAACUAGUGGCCAGACCCAGGUCUGACCCGUACUAAGUGGAUAGGCAAGCCAACCUCCCUGACCUCAGUCUCCUCAUCUGUGAAAUGGCUAAUUUGCGGGUAGCACUUGGGUCCAUUUGAAGCAGGGAGAAUUGUAAUCUUAAGAAACAAAGCAUUUCAGCUUUUCUGUAUGUUGAAAAUUUUUAUUAUAAAAUGUUGGAGAAUAAAUAAAUAAAGCUCUUUUUAAAUUUCUAGUUCCAAUGAGUUACUCAUCCUUAGCAUACACCCAGCAUGUAAUCUUUUAGUUUUUUUUUUUUUGGUACCAGGGAUCAAACUUGGGUCCUUGCGCUUGCAAGGCAGGCGACGGAACCACUGAGCUAAAUCCCUGGCCCCCAUCUUUUAGUUUUUAAUCACUAAAAUAUAAGCACAACCAUCUUUUGAAAUUCAACGUUCUACUCAGAACAUCCUAUAGAUAAGUAAGAUUGGGUAAAGAAGAUAAACAACAGAAAGGAAGGAAGAGAGAGGGUAUAGUUUUCCUGGAGAACACAAUCUUCUAGGAGACAGACGAGUAAAGAGAAACAACAUCAUCCCAGGCUCCCAAAGGAGGAAGACUAACAUCUGAGAGAGCAGAGGUGUGAAGGCUUCCUGCCGAAGUGGUGGGAUGGGGCUUGUGAGCAUCUCCCCUGAAACUUUUUCUUUUCUUCUGUGGUACUGGGGAUAGAACCCUGGGAUUUCUCACCAAGCAAUAUACCCAGCCUUUUUUAUUUUUUAUUUUGAGACAGGGUCUCACUAAUAUACUGAGUUGCCCUGGCUGGGCUUGAAGUUUCCAUCCUCCUGCCUCAGCCUUUCACAAUGAGUGAGACUUUUAGAGGUAGGGUGAGGGUAGAAAAGGAAGCAGGCAUGGCGUUAGAUGGUCAAAGGGCAUGACAUGCUAAGGGAAAGGCACAAACAAAGCAGAUAUGUGCGUGUGGUAGGGAGAGGGGAAGGGGAAUGAAUCUGAGGACGCAGCCAGUGGCUACUUCGGGAUGGUUCUUGCCAAGGGGGAAGUCUUUCUUCUAAAGGAAGUGACCCAAUGAGAUGCUCAGGCUGUUUACUGAAGGUGAAUAUGAAAGCUCAAUACUCCUUUCUUCCUCCAAACCUCAGUAGCUUGGAGAACAUUUGCCCAGUGAUACCAGGAUAGGAGUUAAAAUUGUAGGAGGACCAGUAAUUUAAAGGAGUCACCAAGUCUGAGGGUGGAGAACCAGGGAGAAUAGUGAAGAAACCAAGACUUGUGACAUGGAGCUGAGCCAGAUGGCCUGACAGAGUGGCGCCUGGGUUACUGGAUCCUGAGCCCAGGGGCCCAUGACUUGAUUGGGAAUGGAAUGGAAGGGUGGGACUGUGUAUUUUUUGAAAGAGCUAACACUCAGCUUUUCGUGUUGCUACAGGUGCUAAUGCGAAGUGAGCUGGAGGCCCUGGACAUUCCUUCUGUUUAAAAAGAUUAAGGCUACAUAAGAUUAUUCUUUCCAUGAACCACUUGAUAAUAACAUUAAUGAACAUGAAACCAAAACUCCCUAACAAUUCCAUUAUCUCAACAAUUUCCAUUGUUUGAUGUACCUUUUCAAUUCUAGAUACUUACAGCUUUUCACUGUUUAGUCACAGCAUAAAUACCAUUUUAAAAGCUUAACAUCAUGUAUAUUUCCCAUGUGGCUUUACAGUUACCCUAUUUUUAAAAAAUAACUGCAUAAUACACAUUUAUCUUUUUCUUUUGAGGUAAAGUCAUCUUGCCCAGGCUGGCCUCAAAUUCCUGGGCUCAAGGGAUCCUUCUGCUUCAAGUAGCUGGGAUUAGAGGCAGUAAUCUUGUAUUACCAGCCAUAAUAUCUUGUAUUCUGUUUACUUAUCUAUGUGGUACUGGGGAUUGAAUCCAGGGCCUCACAGAUGCUAGGCAAGUGCUCCACCACUGAGAUACAUCCCCAGCCCAAUAUAAUGUAUUCUAAAUCACAAAACUACUCACAGUUGUUGAAUAUUUAGGCUGCUCUCAUUAGCUGUGUCUUUUAAGGAAACUGAUACACGCUGCUGGAAUGUUUAAUUGAACCCUCUGAGUUGAAAAGCAGACAUUUUUCUCCCCUUUCUCCCUGAGAUUUACGUGUGUUUACAGGCCAACAGGAAAAUGUUUUCAGUGUGCAGACUGUUGGGUCAGCAAGGAGGGAGCCUGGUCUGCAGGAUCAAGAAAGUUAACAGGGAGAGGCUAUGGAAGCCUGUAUGAAACAAUUGUAAUGGCUUCAGCUUCAGGGAUUCUUAAUUCUGCAUUCACGGAAGAGUAACGGAUCAUCUCCAUGGUCCUGGUACCAAAGGAUCUCCUGGCACUUGAGACCUUAGGGCUGAAACAAGAAAAAAAUCCCUUUGUAAACAAGGAUGAGUUAGUCACCUUGGUGUGGAGGAGAUGAAGAAACUGAAGGGAUGAAUCAUUUGUAUAAGCCAGCUCUGCGUCACCAAACAGCAAUUCAGAGAAAGCCUGCUCCAACACUACCAUGAAACCCUCAUGCUUUAUGUAGGAGUCCAAGUACAUAUUUAUCUCAGGUUGUUGCUCUGCUCACAGAAAAAACAUUCGUUCAUCUACUUAUUUACUCAGUAAAUAUGUAUGGGACACGGGCACUGUUCCAG